UCCUUAAAUACUGAGAACAGUUUUUUUGUUCUGCUUGUGUUUUGCCGCGAUUUGUAUCAGUUUUCCAGCCUUCUGAAGUAGAUUUUUUGCAGUCUAUGGUGGUUAUUUU
Octopus sinensis (East Asian common octopus) is the source of this 109-nucleotide long non-coding RNA. RefSeq lists it as uncharacterized. The record is from RefSeq and is a predicted model, not a curated record. Lineage: Eukaryota; Metazoa; Mollusca; Cephalopoda; Octopoda; Octopodidae. The transcript is spliced from 3 exons.